RNAcentral lists this ribosomal RNA (784 nucleotides) under uncultured bacterium. RNAcentral describes it as "bacterial SSU rRNA". It matches the Rfam family "Bacterial small subunit ribosomal RNA", at positions 8 to 796 of the family's 1533-position model. The record is from RNAcentral.
AGAGUUUGAUCAUGGCUCAGAACGAACGCUGGCGGCGUGCCUAACACAUGCAAGUCGAACGAGAAAGGGACUUCGGUCCCGAGUAGAGUGGCGCACGGGUGAGUAACACGUGGAUAACCUGCCCUGUGAUCCGGGAUAACAUUCCGAAAGGAGUGCUAAUACCGGAUAAGCCUACGGAGACUUCGGUCUCUGCAGGAAAAGAUUUAUUGUCACAGGAUGGGUCCGCGGUCCAUUAGCUAGUUGGUAGGGUAAUGGCCUACCAAGGCGACGAUGGAUAGCUGGUCUGAGAGGAUGAUCAGCCACACUGGAACUGAGACACGGUCCAGACUCCUACGGGAGGCAGCAGUGGGGAAUUUUGCGCAAUGGGGGAAACCCUGACGCAGCAACGCCGCGUGAAGGAUGAAGGCCUUUGGGUCGUAAACUUCUGUCAGAGGGGAAGAAAUGCCCGUAAGGGAGCUGACGGUACCCUCAAAGGAAGCACCGGCUAACUCCGUGCCAGCAGCCGCGGUAAUACGGAGGGUGCAAGCGUUGUUCGGAAUUAUUGGGCGUAAAGCGCAUGUAGGCGGUUUGUUAAGUCUGGUGUGAAAGCCCGGGGCUCAACCCCGGAAGUGCAUUGGAUACUGGCAAACUUGAGUAUGGGAGAGGAAAGUGGAAUUCCGAGUGUAGGAGUGAAAUCCGUAGAUAUUCGGAGGAACACCAGUGGCGAAGGCGGCUUUCUGGACCAAUACUGACGCUGAGAUGCGAAAGCGUGGGGAGCAAACAGGAUUAGAUACCCUAGUAGUCC